GACGAACGCUGGCGGCGUGCUUAACACAUGCCAGUCGAACGGAAAGGCCCUGCUUUUGUGGGGUGCUCGAGUGGCGAACGGGUGAGUAACACGUGAGUAACCUGCCCUUGACUUUGGGAUAACUUCAGGAAACUGAGGCUAAUACCGGAUAGGAGCUCCUGCUGCAUGGUGGGGGUUGGAAAGUUUCGGCGGUUGGGGAUGGACUCGCGGCUUAUCAGCUUGUUGGUGGGGUAGUGGCUUACCAAGGCUUUGACGGGUAGCCGGCCUGAGAGGGUGACCGGCCACAUUGGGACUGAGGUACGGCCCAGACUGCUACGGGAGGCAGCAGUGGGGAAUAUUGCACAAUGGGCGGAAGCCUGAGGCAGCAACGCCGCGUGCGGGAUGACGGCCUUCGGGGGGUAAACCGCUUUCGCCUGUGACGAGGCGUGAGUGACGGUAAUGGGUAAAGAAGCACCGGCUAACUACGUG
RNAcentral lists this ribosomal RNA (468 nucleotides) under uncultured bacterium. Its description in RNAcentral is "partial 16S ribosomal RNA". It matches the Rfam family "Bacterial small subunit ribosomal RNA", at positions 28 to 507 of the family's 1533-position model. The record is from RNAcentral.